CAGAGCGUAGCUAAGACAGUAAAGCGCCUCCCUUACACUGAGAAGUCAUUCGUGCAAUUCGAAUCGCCCUGA
RNAcentral lists this transfer RNA (72 nucleotides) under Zanclorhynchus spinifer. Its description in RNAcentral is "tRNA-Val". It matches the Rfam family "tRNA". Rfam says of the family: Transfer RNA (tRNA) molecules are approximately 80 nucleotides in length. Their secondary structure includes four short double-helical elements and three loops (D, anti-codon, and T loops). Lineage: Eukaryota; Metazoa; Chordata; Actinopteri; Perciformes; Zanclorhynchidae. The record is from RNAcentral.